Molecule: ribosomal RNA, 289 nt
Filed under: uncultured bacterium
Lineage: Bacteria
Description: partial 16S ribosomal RNA
Rfam family: Bacterial small subunit ribosomal RNA
Source: RNAcentral
GUGGAUUAGAUACCCUGGUAGUCCACGCCGUAAACGAUGGAUGCUAGCUGUUUUCGGUAUCGACCCCGAAUGUAGCGAAGCUAACGCGUUAAGCAUCCCGCCUGUGGAGUACGGUCGCAAGACUAAAACAUAAAGGAAUUGACGGGGACCCGCACAAGCGGUGGAGCGUGUUGUUUAAUUCGAUGGUAAACGAAGAACCUUACCCAGGUUUGACAUCCUUGGAAUUUUGCCGAAAGGCGAGAGUGCUUUAUUGAACCAAGUGACAGGUGUUGCACGGCCGUCGACAGCU